This 253-nucleotide ribosomal RNA is filed under the name Segatella copri DSM 18205. Its description in RNAcentral is "Prevotella copri DSM 18205 partial 16S ribosomal RNA". It matches the Rfam family "Bacterial small subunit ribosomal RNA", at positions 524 to 776 of the family's 1533-position model. The record is from RNAcentral. Lineage: Bacteria; Pseudomonadati; Bacteroidota; Bacteroidia; Bacteroidales; Prevotellaceae.
UACGGAAGGUCCGGGCGUUAUCCGGAUUUAUUGGGUUUAAAGGGAGCGUAGGCCGGAGAUUAAGCGUGUUGUGAAAUGUAGAUGCUCAACAUCUGAACUGCAGCGCGAACUGGUUUCCUUGAGUACGCACAAAGUGGGCGGAAUUCGUGGUGUAGCGGUGAAAUGUUUAGAUAUCACGAAGAACUCCGAUUGCGAAGGCAGCUCACUGGAGCGCAACUGACGCUGAAGCUCGAAAGUGCGGGUAUCGAACAGG